UGUCACGCCAGUUGCAAGUCAUCAGCGUGCAGUGUCUGAGCAUGUUCAAUCGGCUCAAGUUCUGUGAAAAUUGAUUAAAAAAGUAGUUUUCAAAGUGAUUUGGUAAAGGACAUUUAUAAGGAAGUGAGUGUGCUUUGAAGUAAUGUAUUUUUAUCGUAAUUAAGGUGAAAAAUCUCGUGUUUGUGUGGUUUAUCGGCGGAAGGACCUCCUGCUACAAUCGCCUUAAGGACAACUAAAUAGUCAAACGAUUUGGCCCAGGUUCUGCAAGGAUUUCCUGCAAAAUCCGGGAAUAUCAGUGGUGUUGGUGCUGGUGGUGCAGGUGGUGGAGUUGGUGCUAUAAGUAGCUCUCAUUUGAGCCUCAGUAGCAGCCCGUGAAACAAGUGAUGCCUCAAAUUCGGACAUUCUCAUCCUCCUAUUUGUUAGAAAACGACCUUGAAAAAGACGAGCCGCUUCACAUAUAUGAUGCACACAAUAUCGCAAAAAGCGUUCCUAAUAAAUUGCGUAUACAAUUUUAAAUGGAUUUAAAAUUAUGGAAAAAGAUUUUCCAUGACUAUCCCGUAAACCAUGUGUGACAUUGCAGUUAAUAGUAUUCUGAAAAACUGCAAUUUCAUACUGCUUCUCUAUGGACUGCUUCGACCGGAUCAGUAUAAGGAGAACGCCAAGGUAUACAAAUCUACUUUCAAAGAUACUCAGAAAAUCAUCGCAAUCGUCGUGGACAAUGUUUCAAAUGGAUUGUGAAAACUGCUCUAUCUUGGAGUUCGAGCAAUUAAAAUAAAGGACUGUGCUUAAAUCAAAAUAUCCAGAAGAGUACAGCAAGGUAUGGAGUUUUAUACAAUCAUUUUUUUCGAUAUGGACGGCAAUAGCUCAAUUCACAGUAAAGCAUUUUGCAAAAGACUGAUGUAACGUAGUUAUAUACGGGCUUCAAACCUUAGACUUAGCCAUAUGGCUUAAUUUAUCUAGUUUCUUAUCAAUCAAGAUAUUUUUGGGAAAUAUUGACUAGGACUAAUUAAGACCUUCACAAAGAGAGCAGAAUAUAUCGCUCCUUGUAAAUUAAAGGGGCCAACUCAUUUUGAGCCAUUUUUCAGGAGACAGUAUGCAAGAUUCAACUUUGUGUAAAUAAUUAUCUCAAUUCAAUGACUGAACGAAAACAACUUAAGCAUUUUUUUCUAUUUGUUUGUGCAUUAAUAUAAA
Long non-coding RNA from Phlebotomus papatasi, 1191 nucleotides. RefSeq lists it as uncharacterized. The transcript has 4 exons. The record is from RefSeq and is a predicted model, not a curated record. NCBI's taxonomy places the organism in Eukaryota, Metazoa, Arthropoda, Insecta, Diptera, Psychodidae.